Molecule: long non-coding RNA, 1086 nt
Organism: Parasteatoda tepidariorum (common house spider)
Lineage: Eukaryota; Metazoa; Arthropoda; Arachnida; Araneae; Theridiidae
Source: RefSeq, a predicted model, not a curated record
UCGGAACCGUAACCCGUUAAGAUGCUGUUUAUCAUUUUCCGCUACACCUGCCGUCUAUUUAUCUUUUGUCUUCUUAUAUUUAAAUCUAAUUUCAUCUCAUAAGACUUAUAUAUUAGCGCAUAAUGUAAGUGGAAUUAAAAUGAAUUCUAUUUAGCGAGCCCGAAAACUCAAACCAGCUGAAGAUGAAGGAGAAUUAAUGCACCUUGUUGAAGUGAGCGAAUUCUCUGAUCUUGGUAGAUAUGUUAUUUUGAAACCAUCUGUAAAGGCUAUCUAUGCUCUUUUACUUCAGCACCAUUUUGGAAUUGGCGAUGACGUAUUGUAAAUUACAAUGAAGAGGGAAACAGUGUUUUGAAAGCCUCUCAGCUGUUACAAACGCCAUCUUGGAUAUAGCUCUUCAUCUUCAAGAAAAUCUACUGUGAAGAAAUUGACUUCAAAAGAAACUUCUUCUCUAGGCCAAUUCAAUAUUUGAGAAGAACAGUUGGAUACUACACACACUAUGAAAUCGCGCACUAUGUUGGACAGCUGUAGUUCUAAGUUCGAUCCUUACAGUGAAUGUAUACAGUGUGGAUCAGUGUCAUCUUCAAGAAAAUCUACUAUGAAGAAAUUGAUUUCAAAAGAAACUUCUUCUCUGGGCCAAUUCAAUAUUUGAGAAGAACAGUUGGAUACUACACACACUAUGAAAUCGCGCACUAUGUUGGACAGCUGUAGUUCUAAGUUCGAUCCUUACAGUGAAUGUAUACAGUGAGGAUAUUCAGCAAGGGCCACUAUAAAUCUGCCAUAGCGAAAAGUCCUCAUGUGACUUUUCGUAUACACAUUAUUGCAUUUACUGAACAUUACAUAAAAGCUUUUAAUUACUGCUUGGAAAUAUAAUUUCAAGUAAAUAAAGACUUACAAUUGGAUGAAUAAACUCAAAUUGUAUCAGAUAUUUCUAAAGUCAUGAAAAAAAGUUAUUUUAUUUUAUAACAAUUAUGUACUUUUAAUUUGUGUUUUAUCAAAAGGUUAUCGAUGUUAAUUUUAAACAAUGAAGGUAAUGUAUUGCAUUUACAAUUGGAUGAAGUUUAUUUUAUAGUGUGUUUUGUUUUUCAA